AUUGGCUACCAUCACUUUUUGCCUAGAUUACUGUAACAGUCUCCUAAUUGGUCUCCCUUAUUUGCUGUGGCUGAUUCGCAACACAAUCCAGUGUAAUCUCUCAAAAACGUAAAUGAGGUCAUGGUACAGCAUGCUCUCUGCAGCUCCCAGUUUCUCUCAGAUCAAGGCUAAAGAUUUUAUACUAACCCACUAGGCCUCAUCAUCUGGCUCCUUAUAAACAAGCCCUCAUUCAGGCUUGCUCCAUACAGGCCUUUGUGCUGUUCUUUGUAAGUGUUGGUCAUGCUACUGUCUCAGGACCUUUGCACUGGCUGUUCCUACUUCCUGGAAUGCCCUUCCCCAGAUAGCUGCAUGGCCGCCUCCCUCACUGUCUUCAAACAUCACUGUAUUACUUAUCCAUUGUCAGGUAACAAAGAACUCCAAAUCUUGCAACUUAAAACAACAGACUCUAUUAACUCAUAGCUUCUGCAGUCAGGAUUACAAAUGCAGCUUAGCUGGGUGCCUCUGUCUGGAUAUUCUCUGAAUCAAGGUGUCACCAGGGUUAUGGUCUCAUCUCUAAGCUCAACAGAGCAAAGAACACUUUUAAACUCACUCCCUGAGUUGUUAACUGGAAGUCAGUUCCUGGGGGGCUACUGAACUGAGAACUGAGGUCUCCCUCAGUUCCUUGCCACAUGGAUCUUCUUCCACAGAACACCUCCUGGCACGGUAGCAGCUUCCGUCAGGUAAGCAAGCCAGGGCGUCCAAGAAGGGCGUAACCCAGUCUUGGAAAUAGCAUCCUGUCACUUUGGCCAUAUUCUAUUUGUUAGUCAAACCUACACUAAAAUAAAGAGGAUUAUAUAAGAAAGACUCAGAGAUGUGGGUUAUUUGGGAUCAUCUAAGGCUGCAUAUCACCAUGACUUUUUCAGCAAGGUGACCUCCUAUUUAAAAUUGCAAUUGCAACCUAAACCUUCACUGGUUUGCCUGCAUGUCCCACCACCUCAUGCUUUCAUUUCCUCUUGCUCUAGUGAGCAAUAAAAAUGUUGUUCUGAGCUGCCUGGUUUUCAGGUGGUUUGUACCAAUAGCAAACUGAUGCACUAUCUUCUAAAAAGAAAAAAUAUAUAUAACAACAACUCUACAAUGUACUUUUUCACUUACAUGUGUCAUUUGUUGUCUGUGUUCCUAUAAUGGAAUCUACGCCACAUGAGGGCAGGAUUUUUGGUUUGGUGUGGUUUGGUU
This 1212-nucleotide long non-coding RNA is filed under the name Marmota monax (woodchuck). Lineage: Eukaryota; Metazoa; Chordata; Mammalia; Rodentia; Sciuridae. The record is from RNAcentral.